Molecule: ribosomal RNA, 473 nt
Filed under: Staphylococcus agnetis
Lineage: Bacteria; Bacillati; Bacillota; Bacilli; Caryophanales; Staphylococcaceae
Description: bacterial SSU rRNA
Rfam family: Bacterial small subunit ribosomal RNA
Source: RNAcentral
UGAUCCUGGCUCAGGAUGAACGCUGGCGGCGUGCCUAAUACAUGCAAGUCGAGCGAACUGACGAGGAGCUUGCUCCUUUGACGUUAGCGGCGGACGGGUGAGUAACACGUGGGUAACCUACCUAUAAGACUGGAAUAACUCCGGGAAACCGGGGCUAAUGCCGGAUAACAUGUUGAACCGCAUGGUUCAACAGUGAAAGACGGUCUUGCUGUCACUUAUAGAUGGACCCGCGCCGUAUUAGCUAGUUGGUAAGGUAACGGCUUACCAAGGCGACGAUACGUAGCCGACCUGAGAGGGUGAUCGGCCACACUGGAACUGAGACACGGUCCAGACUCCUACGGGAGGCAGCAGUAGGGAAUCUUCCGCAAUGGGCGAAAGCCUGACGGAGCAACGCCGCGUGAGUGAUGAAGGUCUUCGGAUCGUAAAGCUCUGUUGUUAGGGAAGAACAUAUGUGUAAGUAACUGUGCACAUCU